Molecule: long non-coding RNA, 4561 nt
Filed under: Malus domestica (apple)
Lineage: Eukaryota; Viridiplantae; Streptophyta; Magnoliopsida; Rosales; Rosaceae
Description: long non-coding RNA (MDOM_LNC001374)
Source: RNAcentral
CCCACACCUUUGUCCUCUGUCUCCCAUUGACUAAAAACACUCCCAAAUCACACUAGCUAGCCAUACAAAACCACUGGCAACAUCAAAUUUUAGGCACGAUUCAAGUAACCAAAUUCAAAUAACCGAGAUCAGAUAAUGAAAUGUGUUUAUACCAUAUUUAAGGCCUCGUAUUUAGAUCUUGUACAAAUACUCGGGGGACUUAAAUGUAAUUAUGUGAUAAAGGAAAUGGCAAAUAUGUAAUAAGUGAGGAGUCCUUAUUCUAUAAAAGGACCCCUCACCCUUACAAUUAGGAAAAGCCAUUUCAGAGGCCAAUUCCUAGGCCCUCUCACCCCCUCUCAAAGCUCUCACUCUUAGAGCUCUCUCUCCCUCAGAUAAAUACAUAAUCAGUGUGGACGUAGCCCAAACCUUGGGGUGAACCACGAUACAUCUUGUGUUAUUUACUUUCAUGCAGAUUCACGGUCGGAUUUACGUUGUUCCAAGACCUCCGGUUUUGUGCAUCAACAUUUGGCGCCGUCUGUGAGAAUCGAUACGAAAAGUUGUGUCGGUUCUCUUUCAAUUUUUCACCUCCACCGUGAACCUGCAGAAACCUAACACCCACACUCAGAGACACCACCAUCUCUCUCUGGCUAGGCAAUUAUCCGCACAAGUUUCACCCCUCCCACCAGCUCCUUUCAUGCAAGAAAACCCGACUGCCAACACGUGGAAUUGAUGGCUAGGCAAACGCGAAAGACGGGAUUGAUCAGAUUCUAAAACUCUCUUUUUCAUCCUCCCCUUGAAACGUGCAGGCUUUCUUGGUGACUGGUCUCACCCCCAAUCCAAAAAAAAAAAGUGGCGGAGGAGCCCAUCAGGAUUCAAAGCCGGGCCCAAGCCGGUCUGACCCAAGUCCCGCCCCAAUACAUUCAACCCCCCUAGUAUGGUCCCAACAGACCAUCAUCCUCAACCAACAUUCCAUCAUCGACCUAUUCAGAUUUGACCCGACCCACCGCGACUCAGUUCAGGCCUCAAUCGGACAAACCUGCAGAGACUGGGACGCCUUCCACGUUACCAAUCACGGCUUACCCGUCGCCUUACUCGAUGCCAUUAAAGCGCGCCGGCCUCACCUUCUUCAAUGAUAGCUCAGUCGAAGACAAGCUGAACUAUGCGUGCGAUCCAAGCUCGUCGACGUUAGAGAAGCACGGCAGCCGGAUGUUGGAGAAGGAUGACACCGUUUUGGACUGGAAAGACUACUUCGACUGCCGCCGGUAAGAAUUCCAACCAGCUUCCGACAGCUGGAGGUUCAGGAUGACGGAGGUUCAGAGCGAUCUGGGAUAUUCUACUCUCUCUUCCAAAUGGCUCUCCAGAACUCCAACUCCUCAAGCAAUUCCACCUCUGCCUCCGAUUCUGUAAUUUCGAACAAGGAGCGGAGGUUCGCACUGUACGAUCAGAUGGGUCAAGAUUUGGCUAAGCAUAGACCGAUUUUUCUUAAACAUAGCAGCCCGACCUCCCAAUCUCUGUCACUUUCUGAUAUUUUUACUAUCAGGGAUGGAUCUGUAAAACCUGUACUUAAGGCAGCAAAUCCUCCUGUUCGUGCUAAUGUGUUGUAUUUGAGCACACAGUACUCGCUUCAGCUGGGCCAGAAUUAGACUGAAUGGAGCCUUCUGCCUAUCUUUCUAAAUAAUUCAAAAAUGUUGCAGUCCCACGGUGUUGAGAGAGUUUAUGAUGCUUUCCAUCUCUUGCAGACUGAAUCUUUUAUGCAGAGAAUGGUGAUGGCAUUGUCCUCUGAUAUAGCGGUUUGGGAUGUUGUGAUGAACAAUGAGGUGGUGCGCAAGCUCGGCGAGCCUUUCUAUGCAGGCUUAGCUAGCAUCCACAGCCACACCCUCACCUUCUCCACCGUCAUUUUUGAAAAAGAAAAAAGGAAGAAAUGAGUAUAAAGGAGCAGCAACAGAAUAAUAAAAGCAGAAAGGGAGCGGACCAAAAUUAUUUGACAAAAAAAAAAAAAAAAAAAAAAAGCAAAAUAGAGUACGUGGAGAUUCGAUGGGAGAGUAUAGAAAGCGAAAACAUUGCCGAUCAUACAGCUCUGGUUGAGGGCUGUCAAAUUAUUCCGCAAUCACCGUGUAGGCUAUUUUCCCACCAUCAGAUAUCUAAUGGCAGCUUGGUGUCAGCACAUCGUGUGUUGAUCUCUUGGCCUCAGUGGCCUCUUAUCCUAAUCCGGACGACAAGAUCAAAACAACCAGCUUCAAGGUUCAAGCAGGUGGGAAAACAGGCAAUGCUUUAACAUGUGUAGCUCGUCUGCGAUUACGUCUGAGGCUGAUUUCCAAGGUUGCAGAUGAUACACAAGGCAGGGCUAUACUGCAGGAGCUACAAGCCGACAGCAUAGAUACUUCUUUUGUUGCGGCAUGGACAGGAGCAUCAUCUGUUCCUAGUGCUCUUGCUUCGAUGCUUUUACGUCCACACUGCGAUUGCAAAAGAUCAAAUUCGCAAUUGAUAGAGAGUCCGGCUCCCUAUGAUGGUGGUCCCCAACGACUGCUUUAUCUUUUGUCAUGAGCUUUUAUUUAUGUCAUGAGCUUUUAUUUAUGUCAGGAUCAUCCACUAUCCCACUACAAAAGAAAAAGCCCACGGGAUAGCAUGUAAAAGAUAGAGACUGGUGCAAGGUUCCCACUACACUGCACCACGGGAUAACAUGCUUUAUGUUUUUGUAUGAUGUAAUUUAUUUUUCGUAUGUUUCAGAGACAUUUGUAUAAAUCUUAUCAAAGGGUAAUAUGUAUAAACCUCAUCAGAGGGUAAAAAAAAAAAAAAAAAAAAAAAAAAGCCCAAAAUAAUGGGCUGACAUGUUGUGGAGAGCAAAUGCCCAUAAGCCCAAAAUAGCACAAACCAGAUCAUCAAAAACACGCACAGUACUCCCUAAUUAUUCGGCAACCCGCCGCUAUUACCACCAACCAGGUGAUGAGAUGUACAACCCAUACUCUAAUUUGGCAACUAGCCAUUCAUGCCACCAACCAGGUGAUUAAAAGUACGCCCAGUACUACAAAUUAUACAUGAGCAUUACUCAUGUCAUUCAUACAUAAACAUUCAUGAGCAUCACUCAUGACAAUCAUACAUAAACAUUCAUGAUCAUCAUUCAUGUCAACAUUCAUGAGCAUCACUCAUGACAACAUUCAUGAGCAUCACUCAUGACAACAUCCAUGAGCAUCACUCAUGUCAAUCAACAUAAACAUUCACGAGCAUCACUCAUGUCAAUCAGCUUCAAAAGCUUCAUUUACAGAGCUCUAGCUUCAAAAGCUUCAUUUACAGAGCUAUAGCUUCAAAAGCUUCAUUUACAAAAGCUCUAGCUUCAAAAGCUUUAUUUACAGAGCUCUACUUCAAAAGCUUCAUUUACAAAAGCUCCAGCUUCAAAAGCUUCAUUUACAGAGCUCUAACUUCAAAGCUUCACUUGCAAAGCUUCACUUACAAAGCUUCAGUACAGGGUAUACAAAUACCGCAUCCGAACAACCGCCACUUCGGCCCAUACAUGGAUUCAAUUUGAAGUCUCCAGCCAACAGACUCUAUUGACCGAAGACUUGGGGGACUACAUUAUGUACCAUAUAUUGGGCCUCAACUGGGCCUUAUGAAAAUACUUGAGGGACUUAGCCCAUUAUCUAUGUACUGAGGAGCGAGCCUUUAUUCUAUAAAAUGGACUCCCUCACUUUCAUUAGAGAGCACUCAUGAAAAAUACUUGGGGGACUUAGCCCAUCACUCAUGUAUUGAGGAGCGAACCCUUAUUUUAUAAAAGGGACUCAUUCACCUUCGUUAGAGAGCAUCGCCACCCGCUGAGCAACUGCCUCGCCGCGAGCAUCACUCAUAACCCAUUAUUCAUGUAUUAAGGAGCGAACCCUUAUUUUAUAAAAGGGACUCCUUCACCACCAUUAGAGAGCAUCGCCACCUACUGAGCAACCGUCUCGCCGCGAGCAUCAACUCUAGCCCAUCAUUCAUGUAUUGAGGAGCGAGCCCUUAUUUUAUAAAAGGGACUCCCUCACCUUCAACACCACAAGCCGAGCCAACCAAGGCAACAUAAGCCACGAGUCGAGCAGCCUCGCAGCAUGUGUUACUUCUAGUGGAGCAUCAUUUCAGAUUGAGCACUGCCUCAUAUCGAACAUCAGUUCAAGACAACAUCUAAUUACUUCGGCCCACACAUGGACUGAAUUUCAAGUCUCCAGCCAAAAGACUCUCUUGACUGAAGACUUGGGGGACUACUGUUUAUACCAUAUUUAGGGCCUCGUAUUUAGAUCUUGUACAAAUACUCGGGGGACUUAAAUGUAAUUAUGUGAUAAAGGAAAUGGCAAAUAUGUAAUAAGUGAUGAGUCCUUAUUCUAUAAAAGGACCAAUCACCCUCACAAUUAGGAAAAGCCAUUUCAGAGGCCAAUUCCUAGGCCCUCUCACCCCCUCUCAAAGCUCUCACUCUUAGAGCUCUCUCUCCCUCAGAUAAAUACAUAAUCAGUGUGGACAUAGCCCAAACCUUGGGGUGAACCACGAUACAUCUUGUGUUAUUUACUUUCAUGCAGAUUCACGGUCGGAUUUACGUUGUUCCAAGACCUCCGGUUUUGUG